GGAAUAUUGGACAAUGGGCGCAAGCCUGAUCCAGCCAUGCCGCGUGCAGGAUGACGGCCCUAUGGAUUGUAAACUGCUUUUAUACAGGAAGGAACAGUUCUACGUGUAGAACCUUGACGGUACUGUAAGAAUAAGGAUCGGCUAACUCCGUGCCAGCAGCCGCGGUAAUACGGAGGAUCCAAGCGUUAUCCGGAAUCAUUGGGUUUAAAGGGUCCGUAGGCGGUCAGAUAAGUCAGUGGUGAAAGCCCAUCGCUCAACGGUGGAACGGCCAUUGAUACUGUCUGACUUGAAUUAUUAGGAAGUAACUAGAAUAUGUAGUGUAGCGGUGAAAUGCUUAGAGAUUACAUGGAAUACCAAUUGCGAAGGCAGGUUACUACUAAUUGAUUGACGCUGAUGGACGAAAGCGUGGGUAGCGAACAGGAUUAGAUACCCUUG
This 435-nucleotide ribosomal RNA is filed under the name uncultured Flavobacterium sp. Its description in RNAcentral is "bacterial SSU rRNA". It matches the Rfam family "Bacterial small subunit ribosomal RNA", at positions 358 to 790 of the family's 1533-position model. The record is from RNAcentral. Lineage: Bacteria; Pseudomonadati; Bacteroidota; Flavobacteriia; Flavobacteriales; Flavobacteriaceae.